Molecule: long non-coding RNA, 879 nt
Organism: Felis catus (domestic cat)
Lineage: Eukaryota; Metazoa; Chordata; Mammalia; Carnivora; Felidae
Exons: 2
Source: RefSeq, a predicted model, not a curated record
GGUAACAGAGCCAGUGAGCGACCAAGUCAGACCCAGAAUCUGGGCUUCUUCAUCUCCUUUUCUUCAGUCAGCAAACAUUCACGAGCACCUCCUGUGUGCCCGGCCCUCAGCUAGACGCCAAGGACUCAGAGUUAGAUGCAAAGGCCCGGCGAGGGAAAUGACUGACUCAGAGUCAUAUGGCAAGUUCUUGUAGAGCCUGAAUUAGAACUUGUGCCUUCUGACUCUCAGCUACUGUGCUUUUUGUUGUUGGAUCAGACAACAGAGGCUCAGAGAAAUUCCCAGCCACCCCCUAUCCUCUGCAUGUACAUGCACAUGUACACACAUGACAUACACACACACACACACACACACACACACACACACACACAUACACACAGCAAAAUAUUGAUUAACUGGUGUGUUGUGGUAGAAGGCGAUGGUGGGUAAUUUAUUUUCUAGACACUUGAGAGUUAAUAUGAAACUGGAUUUAUUUCAGCCCCUGUUUCCUAUCCUCUAAAAUCUCUCCCAGUGUACUUAGGAGGUGCCAUCUAGCAACUAUAAAUGGGCUUUGUCUGCUGAGAGAGCCUGCCAUGGGGGCUAAUUUACCGGCAUGGAGGUCAGGAUGGUGGUUUCAAGUCCAGCUGCUGCAGAGCUGUUUUCCCAUUUAUACAGACAAGCUGGACUUGGCGGCACUUGCCUGACAUUUGAAAUGGUGUUCUCUGCACCGUGGCUUGUGCACACAGGCAGAGUGCCAGCCCUCUGUACCGCUACCCCCUUGCACCCAUCCUUCCCCUCUGCUACCACGUAAGUGGGGAACCCAGUUUAAACUUUGCCCUCAAUACUGAUCACUGCACCCAACCACACUAUAAAUAAUUAAACGAAUGUCUCUGUCUCUUCCAA